ACGCGACCGGGGGACCCCUACAGGGCCCCGCUGCCACGAGCCACUUGUGGCUGGUGAGCUCUUGGUACGUGGCCGGUGCAAAUUGAAAUGUGCUGUAAAUGGAGAAUACACAUCGAGUUUCUGAGACUUAGUACAAAAAAAAAUGUGAAAUGCCUCGUUCACGGUUUUUUUUCUGAUUACAAGCCUCUUAGCUUCUCCUGCCUCAGAAGCAUCUCCAUCAAUACCAGCGCUGUCCUGCUUCAGUCCCUCUUCCCUACUGCCACAACUUCUAUUUUAUUGGGGAAGGGGAGACAAACUGAGCUGCCUUUCCUCUACCUGUCUGGAAUGUGGAUACAACACCUAGAGGUAAACCAGCCAUCUUGAGACAAUGAGGACCAAAACCUCAGACUGAAGGUGAGAAUAGGAAGACAGAAGACACUAGCACCCUAACAGCCUUUAGCAGCUACACUAAUUUUUGACCACCAGCUCUGAGCCUCCUGUAAAAUGAGAAAAGUAAACCACCAUCUCUAAACACCAUCAUCAGUCAAUUAACUCCUAUUGGUGCGAAUCUAUCAUUUUACAGCUAAAUACAUCCCUAACUGAUCCGUGGAGUAAAAACCCAGAACUACAAGUUGAAGAACACCAUUACGGUUCCAGCUCAGCCAGGAACAAGCUGUGUGGCCCUGAGUAGCCAUUCUCAUCUCUGGGUCUCAGGUUCCUCAUCUCUAUCAGGGGAAGUAGAGUGAGCUGGUCUCUUCCAUCGCUUGUGUUCUGUGGCCUCCUCAUGUUCUUGCUGUAUGUUCUUGCUAGAUGUAAAGAAGUACUUCCUUUCCCUUAAAAUAAAGACUAUUUUGAGGGUUCACUAAGUAUUCCUUUGUUCUUGUGAUGUCAGGACUAACUCCAAGGGCCUGUCCCCUUUGCAUGGUGAAUGUGGUGCAUGUCAAGAAACACACAUCUAGCUGGCGCCGCGGCUCACUAGGCUAAUCCUCCGCCUUGCGGCGCCGGCACACCGGGUUCUAGUCCCAGUCGGGGCACCGGAUUCUGUCCCGGUUGCCCCUCUUCCAGGCCAACUCUCAGCUGUGGCCAGGGAGUGCAGUGGAGGAUGGCCCAAGCCCUUGGGCCCUGCACCCGCAUGGGAGACCAGGAGAGGCACCUGGCUCCUGCCAUCGGAUCAGCGCAGCGCGCAGGCCGCAGCUUCCAUUGGAGGGUGAACCAACAGCAAAAGGAAGACCUUU
Non-coding RNA from Oryctolagus cuniculus (rabbit), 1214 nucleotides. NCBI's taxonomy places the organism in Eukaryota, Metazoa, Chordata, Mammalia, Lagomorpha, Leporidae. The record is from RefSeq and is a predicted model, not a curated record.